Molecule: non-coding RNA, 1470 nt
Organism: Physcomitrium patens
Lineage: Eukaryota; Viridiplantae; Streptophyta; Bryopsida; Funariales; Funariaceae
Source: RefSeq, a predicted model, not a curated record
AGAAUUAAUCGAAAUUGUUUUACUUUCUCUUUCCCCACAAUCUUGCUCGGGAGGGUUUUGGUUUUUUAGUAAUCUGUUUCUUUGUGGACGUUGGAGGAAAAUUCUAGGAUAUCAAAGGAGACAAGUUGUGCAUUGAGAGAUGGGUAGGGCGUGGAUCCGCCAGAAAGCGGUGCAGCGAGGAGCAGGAGAUGCAUAGUGGAGUGGGAAUCGGAGAGCGAGGGCGAGAUCAGGGGAGUUCUGGGGGCGUUGCCGGGUCGGCAGUAGGUGGAGAGAAGGUUGUAAUGCGGCAGGAGCGCGAGCAAGGAGCACUAAUGGGAAGCGCGAGAGAGCCAUGAUGAGCAACAAUGAGGGUAGUGUGAGGGUUUAAGUGUGACUUGGUUGAGGCGAAUCCGAGGUGUUGGUGAAGGAAGGGUAGAGAGCGGCGGUGCUGCUGAGUUGGGAAGAGAAAUAAGCUACGCUUGGAGCUGGAGAGAGAUCGAGGGAGUGGCGCUUGGAAGUUGCGGGGGAGAGAGAGAAAGCGCCGGUUAAGGUGAUCUUACGGCGGCCGCAGCUUCUUGGCUACACGAUUCUAGGCCUUCAGCCAACUGUACAAUAUUUCGUUGAACAGGGUGCAAAGUCGGAGCUUUUGGGCAAAGUCAUCUCCACUUCUCCUCUUUGUAUCUUAGCCUUUGGAUCCCUCACAACUUUCUUCACGAGUGCAUAAAUGAUAUGGUUUUUUGUUUUUUUACAGCUCAAAAAUUUCCGGAUGCCUGACAACGUUGAUGUUUGACAGCAGCCUCUAGAUGCCUUGAUAGCCUCAUCUAUACACAAUUGUAGAACCAAUUAAGUGUGUGACAGUUGGCAUGUGAAGUCUACUGAAAGAUGGGGCCCAAUUACGGCAUGCUGCUAUGUCUCCACAGGUGAAUUAUGACAGUGAAAUUCAAGGAGCUGGAAUAAAGGAUAACGGAGGUCAGCACUGAGUGGAGCAUUACUGCGGGUAGUGGUGGUCGGCCAACCUUGGUGCUGGUGUGCGCGCAAUUAGACGAUUCGGCAAGAAUGGUCAGGAAAAGUUGAGAGUUUUGUAGGUGAUUGCUGAAGCGCUUGAUCAAGGCUGCUGCUCCAGCUUUGAAUCUACAGAAGAUGGAUUCCCAACUGCAAUUACAGAUGAUAUUGAACAACACACUUCUUCAAAAAAAUAUCAAUAUACAACAACUCCACAUAAUUGAUAGAAUCUCUUCCUGCUAUUGGUAGAAUCCAAUUCCGCUGAAAGAUGACAACAAACCAUGAAUCAAAACAACAAAACCAAAUCCUUACCACUUCACUCUCUAGAUCCUUGAGGUUGAUCGUAAGGUGCACAUAGCCAGUUCUAAUUGCCUCUGUCACCAUAUAGCCCAUCAUUAGAGCAGAAUAAAAUCAAGGUUGUUAAAUCAAGCUUGUUAAUAUAUUUUACAAUCUAGUGCGGGUCAAUAAUUUUUAAAGAAGAAAAAUACA